GACGAACCGUGCAAACGUUAUUCGGAAUCACUGGGCUUAAAGCGCGUGUAGGCGGGUCGGUGCGUCGGUCGCUGAAAGCCCCCGGCUCAACCGGGGAAGUGGCGCCGAAACGAGCGGCCUGGAGGGGGGUAGGGGGACCUGGAACUUCCGGUGGAGCGGUGAAAUGCGUUGAGAUCGGAAGGAACGCCCGUGGCGAAAGCGAGGUCCUGGACCCUUUCUGACGCUGAGACGCGAAAGCCAGGGGAGCGAACGGG
Molecule: ribosomal RNA, 254 nt
Filed under: uncultured bacterium
Lineage: Bacteria
Description: partial 16S ribosomal RNA
Rfam family: Bacterial small subunit ribosomal RNA
Source: RNAcentral